AAAUGUAGUACUCCCUCCGUCCCUUUUUAAGUGUCCUGCUUCGUAACUCCAACUUAUUAAAAAGACAUCAUCAUUACACCUUUCACAUAAACUUUUUCCUCCACUUUUUCUACUUACCCAUCAUCAUUACACUUUUUACUCACUAACUUUUCAAAAUAAAAUCUACUUUUAGGGACAAAAUAGACAAUACACCAACUUUUACCCCUUAACUUUACAAAAUGGACACUUAUUAAGGGACAACCCAAAAUGGAAUACUGGACACAAAAAAAGGGACGGAGGGAGUAUAUAAAAACAAAUUUUUCGAGUCUGUUCGUUUUGAGCCUAAUUUUUGUGGUUUUUCGAUUAGUAUGAAAAGUAAAAAAUUACUAUGACUUUUACCCAAAUAUUUUUUGAAAUAUCCAAGAUAAAGCCGGCAUUUUGGGGUUUUUUUUUUUUGGGAUAUUUGGACUUUAUCUUGGAUAUUUUCAUAAAUAUUUGGGUAUAAUUUUUUAUUUUUUCAAUUCUUCUCAUCUAGACGAAUCAAUAAUCCACAAAAGUUUAUUAUAAAAUAACAAAAGCGAAAAAAAUUCGAAUAAGAACAAAAACAAAAAAAGCACAAAUUCCCAAUCAGUUAAGAUGAGAAUCAAACCGUGUGGGGUUGCUCAAUUGCUAAAAGUCUUCCGCACUAUGAAUUAAGGAGUUGAUUUUCGCACCCCAAAUUGUCAACUUUGGAGACGCCAGACACGCACAUUUAAGAUGGUUCACUUCCACCACAAAUUUCCAAUAAGUUAAGAUGGGAAUCAAACCAUGUGGGGUUGCUCAAUUGCUAAAAGUCUUUAGCACUAUGAAUUAAGGAGUUGAUUUUCGCACCCCAACUUGUCAACUUUGGAGACGCUGGACGCGCACAAUUUAGAUGGUUCACUUCCACCACAAAUUUCCAAUCAGUUAAGAUGGGAAUCAAACCGUGUGGGUUGCUCAAUAUAUUGCUAAAAGUCUUCAGCACUAUGAAUUAAGGAGUUGAUUUUCGCACCCCAAAUUAUCAACUUUGGGGAGGCUGGACGCGCACAUUUAAGAUGGUUCACUUCCACCACAAAUUCCCAAUCAGGAGGGGACACAGUACAAUAAGAGACGUUUCUUCACAUUUGAACAUGCAGCAGUUGCCCUAUUUAUAGAGUACUGAACAGGAUAAAGGAGAGCAAAAAGGGGGACCAUCAGUCGCCUCAAAACGACGCAGUUUUGCGUUGUCUCGAGUCCCAGUUAAAUGGGAAUCAAACCGUGUGGGGUUGCUCAUAAAGUCUUCAGCACAAGGAGUUGAUUUUCACACCUCCAAAUUGUCAACUUUGGAGAGUGCGAAAAUUAAUAUGGAGCUUAUCUUCUUUCUCAACUAUAAAUACCCUCCAAAUCCAAAAACAGACGCACAAAUCAGUGGAGAAAGAGGGAGAGGAGAGCAAAAGCACAAUGGUGAUUUAGAGAGAGAAACUUAGGUGGAUUUCGGUUUUUCACACACCCGAACGCCAAUUCGAGAUAUACCAGCUUUAGCACGAGCACGAGCACCUCCAAACCAAUCCCCAAUCACCCGAAGUCAGCCCUGGGGUUCUCGGAGCCGUUGUCUUCUCGGUUUAGCCGAAAAUCCAAAAAUCGCGUUUUAAGCUUUUCGGUCGGAAUCGAGGGUGAAAGGAUUUACAUAUUCUGAGGAAAUACUCAAAAACUUGACGAGAACGACUUUCUCAAGUCUAUCAACACUAGAGGAUGGAACCCGCUGUGACCACGGCAAUCAUUGCUGCAGCUGCAACAAUUGUUGUAGCCUAUGUGACAGCUAGAUAUACAGCUAAAUAUACAGCUAAAUAUAUGGCUAAAUACAGUUGAAAAGAUGGAAGAUCGAUUUCAGCGAUUGGUGGAUGAAAUGGAAGCUAAGAAAAAGGCCUAUUGAAAAAUGAAGUGCCUUUCAGAUGUGAAUGGCUCCGUAAUCUGAAACUUUUACCACUUUUCUGCUCCUCUAUUUUAUCUUGCUUCUAUGUGAAAUUGUUGCCAGUAAGAACCAUAAUUACAUGUAAUUGGAAUAAAUUUGCACGUUGUGUUUUCAUUCAA
Long non-coding RNA from Rhododendron vialii, 2067 nucleotides. RefSeq lists it as uncharacterized. The transcript has 3 exons. The record is from RefSeq and is a predicted model, not a curated record. NCBI's taxonomy places the organism in Eukaryota, Viridiplantae, Streptophyta, Magnoliopsida, Ericales, Ericaceae.